UGGGGAAUCUUGGACAAUGGGCGCAAGCCUGAUCCAGCCAUGCCGCGUGAGUGACGAAGGCCUUAGGGUUGUAAAACUCUUUCGUCGGGGACGAUAAUGACGGUACCCGAAGAAGAAGCUCCGGCUAACUUCGUGCCAGCAGCCGCGGUAAUACGAAGGGAGCUAGCGUUGUUCGGAAUCACUGGGCGUAAAGCGCACGUAGGCGGAUAGUUAAGUCAGGGGUGAAAUCCUGGGGCUCAACCCCAGAACUGCCUUUGAUACUGGCUGUCUCGAGGUCGAGAGAGGUUGGUGGAAUUCCUAGUGUAGAGGUGAAAUUCGUAGAUAUUAGGAAGAACACCAGUGGCGAAGGCGGCCAACUGGCUCGAUACUGACGCUGAGGUGCGAAAGCGUGGGGAGCAAACAGGAUUAGAUACCCCUGUAGUCCCUGAGCGGGCUGGCAAGGCGCAU
Molecule: ribosomal RNA, 447 nt
Filed under: uncultured bacterium
Lineage: Bacteria
Description: bacterial SSU rRNA
Rfam family: Bacterial small subunit ribosomal RNA
Source: RNAcentral